ACUAAAGAACUUUGCUCUCUCUUACUUCUCUGUUUUGGUUCUCUUCUUUAAACACAAAACGUUUAGCAACUUAGUGAGAAGAGAUAAAUCUUUAAUCUUAUGCAUUGAUGUUUUCAUUACAACACUCACACAUAUUUACACUCACCCAAACCCAAGCCCAAGCUUCCCUUGCCACUACCAACUUAAACUCCAAGGGUGAAGAAUUUUGGUAUCAGAUUCAAUUUUAAUGAAAACAAAAGACAAGGUACCAAUUUUGCUAUUGUUUUAGAUGUUCUGCUGUUAGACAAUUUUGAGUGUAUUUAUCAAUGGUUCAAUGAGCAUUCGUCUUUGUUGCGCUAAAAUAAAUACUACAGUAGUAAUAGUUAUGUACCAGAAUUUCUAAACAUACUAGUUAUAUUAAUAACAAAUGUAUUCAAGAAAAACAAAAGAGAGCAUCCCAAUGUUAGAUUGGAGAUUACAAAAUGAGAAACACUCACUAACAGAAGAUGUCAACAAAGGUUUUGAGUUUUUUGUUCUGAUGAAUAUCGAAAUUAUGAUAGUAAUAAAUUGUCGAACGAAAUAAUGAUAGUAAUAAAUUGUCGAACGAAAUACCACUAAGCCCUACGUGUGAACACUAAAAAUAGCCUGAAGAGACAAGUUUGCUAGUAUUUGACAUUGAAAAUGCGUGACAUUGACAGUGAUACAAAGUUUCCAUUUCUCCAAAAAUACUAUCGGUUUCUUAUUACUUUAUCAACUACUCCAUCUCUUUUAAAAUGUACCAUGUAUUAAAGUUUUUAUUUUGUUUCAAAAUAUAUGAUGUUUUACAAUUUUAUACGCAAUUUUAAAUAUAAGUAAUAUUAUAUGACUAUUUGUAUUUUGCGAUCUUUUUUCUAAUUGAUUUAAAUUUUUUAAAUCAAAUAUUAAAUGAUAUUCUAUCAAUUUCACAAAGAGUGUUAUUCUACUAUUUUUAACACAAAUUAAGAAAAAUAAACAAAAUUCAUUUAUACCUUUUAUUAAUACACUAGAUAGUUCCUUCUCCCUAAUUAAUAAGCUGGAAUAAUAAGGAUACAAAAGAUAAUUAGUCUUAAAAACUGCAUUGAAAACAUAAAACGACAUUUUUUGUAAAACAAGAUUAAAACCUUAAAACAACAUUUUUUGUGAAACGGAAAGAGUAGUUUUAAGAAAAAAAGAAAAAUUACUUAAGAUAUGUGUUUUUAACUAAAAUAUCGUAUAUUUUGUAACAGAGAAAAUAGUAGAAUUUAACUAAAUAGCUUGUGACAUAUAAAUAUUAUAUAUAUUUCAGUCUUACCUUUGAUAUGUGACAAUUAAACGUCAUUAUUGAUUUUGACAAAAAAUUUGGAUUUUUUUCUUAACCAUGUGAUUAGAACUUAUCUACCAUGGUCUUUAGUCUUUACUCUCUUGCUCUUGUUUUUAGGUACGACGAAAAAGGGUUUAAUUGUAAUGUUUGAUAAUUUGGGGAUUAAAAUAAAUCUCAAAUUUAAUGAGGUAGGUUUACAUAAAAAAAAACAAUAAGAUGUGUAUUUGUUUUGCAAUUUUCUCAAAGACAAGAAGAGUACGAGACUCGUCGUCGUCUUUCUUCCUCAACUUCAACAAAUAGAAAAUUGGAUUAUUUCAGACCAAAAGUCAUUGUCUCCGCCUACAAAAUCGGCGAUUAUUAAUCACAUUGUCCUCUUCUAUGUCUGAUCCACUUUAAUCUCUUCAAAAAACAUUCACUUUUCCUCUAAAAGCUUUUUCCUUUUCUCAUCAUUUCUCUUCUGAUCGAAACUGUGAAAAAUGGGCACCGAUCAAACUCAGAUCUCCGACGAAUAUGUCUCCGGUAACAAGUCCGGUGUCGGUGGUGGAAUCUCCGAUGUUUACGGUGAAGAUAGUGCCACACUGGAUCAACUCGUCACUCCUUGGGUUACCUCUGUCGCAAGGUACCAUCAUAAAAUCUUUUUAGGGAUCUUCUAUUCAAGAAUCGCAAAAGAUUUCAUAAUAACUUGUAAACCAAGAAAUGUUGGAUCUUUCUAUUCUUGUUUUUUUGUGACAAUUUUUACAAAGUUGUAAAAUUUUUUUAUAGUGGGUAUACAUUGAUGCGUGAUCCUCGUUACAAUAAAGGACUUGCAUUUACUGAUAAAGAGAGAGAUACUCAUUACAUAACUGGUCUUCUUCCUCCUGUAGUUUUAUCUCAAGAUGUUCAGGUGAUUUUGAUGUUUAUGUUUUGAGUAGAAUCUUCAUUUUCUUUUGAGGUUAUGUUGAUUUCUGUUUGUGUGUUUAUAGGAGAGGAAAGUGAUGGGAUGCACAGGCUAUGGGNNNNNNNNNNNNNNNNNNNNNNNNNNNNNNNNNNNNNNNNNNNNNNNNNNNNNNNNNNNNNNNNNNNNNNNNNNNNNNNNNNNNNNNNNNNNNNNNNNNNUUGAUAUAUCAUUUACUAUUACUCUUGGUUUCAGUUUGAAGAUUUUGCAAACCACCAUGCGUUUGAGCUUCUCUCUAAGUACUGCUCCAGUCAUCUCGUUUUCAAUGAUGAUAUCCAAGUAAGAACUUGUGUUCAACAUUGGUAUCAUUUGUGAGUUUUUAAAAGGUGACUAGCAAGAAUUUAAUUUGUUUUGUCGGUGUAAAACUGCAGGGCACUGCAUCAGUGGUUCUUGCCGGGCUUAUUGCGGCUCAGAAAGUACUUGGUAAAAGCCUAGCUGACCAUACUUUUUUGUUCUUGGGGGCUGGAGAGGUGAGACCUGAAAACAUAUACCAAAUGAACUUUUUUUGUCAAGUAUUUGUUUAUUUUGUUAUGUUGCUAAAGGUUUUUAUCUUCUUUGAAGGCUGGAACCGGAAUCGCUGAGCUAAUUGCUCUUAAAAUUUCGAGAGAGGUUAGAUAGUUUUUCGCGGUUUCGCCUUCUUGAGUAUUUUUUCAUUAAUUCCUUGGCUCCUUCUUACCAAGAACAUGUGACUGUAUUGUUUUGCAGACUGGAAAACCAAUCGAUGAGACCCGGAAGAAGAUUUGGCUUGUGGACUCCAAGGUAUUGUUGACUACAUCAUUGUUAACUAUUACUUUCUUGUUCAUUUACGAAACAUCCUUUGGAUUAUCUUGCAGGGACUGAUUGUUAGCUCACGAAAAGAAUCGCUUCAGCAUUUUAAGCAGCCAUGGGCGCAUGACCACAAGCCCGUCAAGGAGCUCUUGGGAGCUGUUAAUGUAAUUUAGAAAACUCAUCUUAAUAUCUCUUCAUGAGUAGAGGAGAAAUGUAUCUCAGACAUUUUUAGUUCUUGUCUUAAAUCAGGCAAUCAAGCCAACUGUGCUUAUUGGAACUUCUGGUGUGGGUAAGACAUUCACUAAGGAAGUAGUGGAGGCCAUGGCCACCUUGAACGAGGUUUUGUUUUUUCCUUCUUUCAAUCUGCUUUCUAUCUAUAUAUGCUCUUGUUUCUCAUGCACAUCUUUGUGUGGUUGGUUACAGAAACCAUUGAUUCUUGCUCUCUCAAACCCAACUUCUCAAGCCGAGUGCACAGCGGAAGAAGCUUACACAUGGACCAAGGUAACGAUCAAAAGCUUAUUGAUACCGUCAUGCACAACUGUAAAUUUGCAUUUGAUGUGACUAAAGAAGCUUGUGUUCGAUUAUAGGGUCGUGCAAUCUUUGCAAGUGGAAGCCCGUUUGACCCUGUUGAGUAUGAUGGCAAAAAAUUCAUGCCUGGCCAGGUUCGUUGAUUUUCUAUUGUAACAUUUUUCUGAACAAUUCAUGUCCUUCCGAUAACAUCCCUUUUUUAGGCAAACAACUGCUACAUUUUCCCGGGUCUCGGUCUUGGUUUGAUCAUGUCCGGUGCCAUACGUGUUCGCGAUGACAUGCUUCUCGCAGCUUGUAAGUACAAGACACUCCUUUAAAAACCUGUUUUUAAAAAAUUGACACAUUGUCAUAUAACACUGCACUCUCAUGAGCUGCCCCUAAAUGGUUUCAUGGUACUCGCCUAAAAUACUAAAAUACAACACUCUCUUAUCAUAAGUUUGUUUCGUAAUUAACCUGCCAUAUAAUUUUUUGUUUUUCCAAAAGAUAAAUUGUAGUUAUUCUGCCUCAUAAUUUUUCAUUUAUUUCGCUAAUUAGUCAAUUAAAGAUCCGCCAUAAAUCACGAGAAAUGAUCUAAGACCAUUUGUCACUAGAAGUUUCACCGUUACUAUUUAGACCAUUUGUUUUUUUUUAACUUAUGUUUUCUAUCAGCUGAAGCGCUGGCCUCCCAAGUGACAGAAGAGAAUUUCGCUAACGGAUUGAUCUAUCCGCCUUUUGCAAACAUCAGAAAGAUCUCAGCUAACAUUGCAGCCAGUGUGGGAGCCAAAACCUACGAACUAGGUUAGCUUCAUAAUUCUUCAUAUUAAAAAUAUGAUUAGUAAAAAAAAAAUAAUCUCAUUUGUAAAAUCUGAUGUCAUGUUGUUCUUGGUGGUGUUGCAGGACUGGCAUCGAAUCUGCCUCGUCCUAAGGACCUCGUAAAGAUGGCAGAGAGCUGCAUGUACAGUCCUGUCUACAGAAACUUCCGUUAAAACAUUCUUUGCUCAUUUUUGUCCUCAGCUUUUUUUACUUUUUGCUUUUCAGUUUUGGUGCUUUCUAUAUAGGAUAACUUCUACACUAUUUUUACUUCUUUUACUUUUGCUUUUACUUUAAAUAAUGAAACAUUUUAAUUUAAUUUUUAUGAAUUGUGAAAUAAUCUAUUAUUCAUUUUUUGCCGUACGCGUGUUAGGUUAUGGUUUUCUCAGUUUUUCUAGACAUUAAAUGACAAUUAAAUAAAUUUAAUUUAGGUAAAACUGCAGUGGUACAUAAGUAAGACGAAAAGAUUGGUGUGGGAUUGGUGUGGGCAAUGCAAUGUUUGGACAACCUUUUGGUUUACAGGAGGUAGCUUUUGAGAGUGGCUCCAAAAACUUGAUGACAGCUAUUAAUGAUCCUAUGUCUGGUUUGAGGUUGAUAAAAUUUACAGAUCUCAUUUUGGGUCCAAGAAGGAAUUUGAAGCCAUGUUUAAGGUUUAGAAGAAGGGAGGGAACUAAUUGUGUUGAUGCUAUUGCUAAAUUUGCAUCUUCAUGUGAUGUGUAUUACACUUUGUUAGAUUGUAGGAGUCCACCUUUGGUUACAAACUUACACUCAAUGGUGGAUCAUGAGAAGCAAUGUAAUGGUUCUUGAGUAUCCUCUGAAUAUUAAAAGAGAGUUUUUGAUGCUGAUGUUGCAAGCCCAUAAUUUUUCUCAGCUUUUUUUUUAAUUCUACUAAAAUAAUUGCCAAACACAUUGUUUCUUAUUUUCAUUCUCUUUAAACCAUUAACCAAACACACCUAAAUUUCUUCUAAUAUGUAUAGUUACCAUAUAUAAAUAAUUGUAUAUUUCUCUAUUAUUAUUAUAUUAAUAAUUUUGAUAUAUCUACAAUAAAAUAACUCCUUUUUUAAAUGCACAUCUAAUUUUUUUUUCUUACUAAAUAUUCGAUUCUAUAGAUUAUUUGAAUUAGUUGUAAUCUUUUAAUAUUUAAAAAUUAUAUGUUAUAUAUAUAUAUGUGUGUAUAUAUAUUUAUCUAAUAUUUAGUAUAAAAAAUUAUUUCAUUGACGCAUAGUGAGACCAUCAAUUUGAUUCGGAAACUUGGAAAAUAUUUUGUUUUAAUUUUCGAAUUAUGUUUAACAUAUAUUAUCAAACUCAACACAACCACUAUGUAUGUACUCUUAAGAUGUAAUGAAAAUUCUUAAUAAAUUAAUACCAAUUUAUAUAUUUAUUAUGAAUAAGACUAUUAAUAAAAUUAUUAAAUAGUUUAAGAUUUAUCCGUGUCAUCCUAGUUAAUUUUAAGUGAGUAUGUUUAGAGGAAAAAAAGGAAGAAAAUUAAAUUUAGGUAAACUAUAAUUGUUUAAGUUCUUAUUACAAAAUAAUAUAACUGUAUCCAAAAAAUUAGAAAUAAAACUUAACACUUGAUUUUAUCCAUUUAAAUAUUCAUGUAUCCUAGAAUAAUCAUUAAUACUUUAAAUAGUAAUAUAGAGCUUAUAAUACAGUCAUACAUUUGUUAUUCUAGAUGUCCACAUAAAAAAAAAAUCAUAGAAAAGAAAUUGGGUUUUGUGCUAAAAAAUCCUCAAAGUCGUCAAUUUUUGCAACUUUACCCUCCAUCUCCGAAAAAUGCAAAAUAAUCCUAUGAAAUCAAAUAUAGCCAUUUUUUGCUACUGUCAAGUUUUUAAAAAUUUGAUAAGUAACAUAUCAAAUCGAAACCCUCGAGACAAGGAAUUUUCAACCUUUAGAUUUUUUAAAAUCAAAUAUAUGUGAUCGUGAAUACGUUGGCGUCGUAGGAGUAUUCUGCAUUUUUCGAAGGUUGGAGGUAAAGUUACAAAAAUAGACUACUUUGAAGUUUUUUUGCAUAAAACCCAAAGAAUUUUGCAUCCCAAAAUAUUUAAAUUACAACGGUAAGAAGUUCAUCAACAUGUUUUUUAACUAUUUUACAUACGAUUUGAAUGGUGAUAAAGAAAUAUAACAAAGGUGGUUAAUGCUGAUCGGAUGGAACAAAAGAUAUGUAAAAUGUUGAACAAAUUUUGAAUGGUGAUUAAGUAAAUACGGUGCAUGUAUAAUAACUAUCAAAUUUUGACUACUUGUUUUCUAAUGUUUCGAGUAUCGGAAAAUAGAAUUUGAAUAAAAUUGAAUUGGAUGACAAAAUUAAAUCAUUCUAAUAAAUAUGGUGCACCGCAUUCGAAAAACAGAAUUCGAUUAUUAUUGAUUAAGAAAAUAGGGAGCACCACAUUUUUUAUGCCACCAAUUAUAGUCUUAAUAUGAAAACUUUAUUUGAUACUUUACUAAUUAACUACCACCAUUUUUAUCUUUAUCGAAUAUUAGAAAGUAAUUAUUCUUUUUCUGUGCAUAAUAAAUUAAUUAUUCUAACUAUAUUAAAAGGGAAAUGAAUAAAGCGCAAAGAAGUGUAAAAAGAGAAUAUUUGAAGUGAUUUUGGGCCUAAAAUUACAAUCAUUGCAAAGUCAAUGAUCCCAUGUAUCAUAUAUCUCAAAAGUCAAGAAAAGAUAAAUAAAUAAUUAUAAAGAGAAAGAUAAAAAGGUUAAUUAACAAGUGGUGGCCCUCCAUUGGAAGCAUAGUUAUUCAUGAUAAUGAACUAAUGAUGAUUGUUUUGAUUUCUUUUGUUAGAAUGGUUAUACAUUCAUUGAACAUCUAUAAUGGUUCUUAACCUUUUUCUUUAAAAAAUGGUAGGCAUGCCUAAAUGUGUAUGAGAAUUGGUAUCAAAAUUUUAAUCAUAACUUCUUCUUUUGGAACACAGUUUUAGCCGUUUUUCAUUUUCUUUUAUCAUUGUUCUUUCGGUUGUUUUAUGAACUUACAUAUAUAUUUUUUUCACUGCUAAACUGUUAAAAUAAAUUUGAUUUUAAAUGUUUCAUUAUUUUUUUUGUCUAUAGAUGAUAUAUAUAUAUAUAUAUAUAAUUAUAAAAAAAUAUAGACAAAAAAAAUAAUGAAACAUUUAAAAUCAAAUUUAUUUUAAUUAUAAACUGUUUUCUAUAUUUUUAGCCAACAAAAAGCGGAUAAAAUUUAUAAAUUCUAUGGAAGUACAAAACUUUUACUAAUUUGAGAAUUUGUAUUAUCUUUUAUCUUGGGGAAAAAAAAUUUGUAUUAUAUAUAUAUAUAUAUAUAUAUAUAUAUCAUUUUACAUGAACUUUUUGAAAUAUAUUAUAUUGAUUCAUACAUAUAUUUUCAGUUAUCUUGAUUUCUAAAAUUAUUAGAUAAUUCAUGUUUGGGCAUGAAUAAAUUCGGUUUAUUAUCAGAUUAAAAUGCACUCGCCUACUCAUUGGUUUGGUAUAAAUUUCUUUAUAUGUUUUCUUUUUGAUAAUUCAGGUGCAUCCCACAAGUAGAACUUUUCUUUGGAUAUUCAAAUGACCCGUAAACAUAGACCCAUAUCCGUAUGAGUAUCAAGAAAAAAUAUGUUUGAGUUUCAUGCACUAUGUAGAUCAAACUUGAAGCGUGUUGACGCCCCAAAUCCGUCUCCUUACCACUUGACUACAAAGCCCGGACAAAUUUCUUGUUAUGUUAUUUACAACUGAACACAUAUUUUAAAUUCGAGUUCUAACAAGACAACAAACUAAUACAAACCAUUAACCUAGAAGCUGUGUCAUUAUUAGGGUGAUGAUUUUUCUUGGUAUGUUGAUGAUUUCUUGAAUCCAUUGAGCUAGGUCUUUUUUAUUUUUAGAGGAUUUUCUAUAGCUCAAUAUAAGUCUAUUUUAUAAUAUUUUUUAUAAAGCAUAACUAUUUCCAUCCUAUUUUUUUUAUAUACAACUUUAUAUCUUCAUAAAUUAUUGGUUAUUUUAUUUUAUCUUGUGGAUUAGGUUUCUUGUUAUAAGGGAUCAUCUAUAUAUAUAAUAGGAGAGUUGUCUCUCCAUAUAGGGUGUCCACAUCAUCAUCCAAGUCACCUUAUUUUAAUUUUGUGUGGGUUCUACAUAUUUUAUUUAAUAAAAGAAAUAAUAUUAAAACUAUAAUUAAUUCCCUCAUUUUGUAAUUUAUAUUAGUAUUAUAUUUCAUUAAACAAAAACAAUAAUUUACAAUAGAAUAAAUUAAAUAUUAAAAAAAACAAAAAAUAUAAUAGGAGAGUUGUCUCUCCGUAUAGGGUGUCCACAUCAUCAUCCAAGUCACCUUAUUUUAAUUUUGUGUGGGUUCCACAUAUUUUAUUUAAUAAAAAAUAAUAAUAUUAAAACUAUAAUUAAUUUCCUCAUUUUUUAAUUUAUAUUAUUAUUAUAUUUCAUUAAAAAACAAUAAUUUACAAUAGAAUAAAUUAAAUAUUUAAAAAAACCAAAAAAAAUAAAUUUAUAACACAAAAUAUGAAAUUUUUGAAUAGAGAUUGGAUAAACAUAAAAUUAGAUAAUUGUAUCCUAACAUAUAAUUUGUAAAUAUUCCUAUAUGACUAGAUAUGAAAGAAAAAAAAACUUAUCAUAUAUUUUAAUGAUUAAACAAUUAUUUUAAGAGUAACAAUUAUUUAGUAGAAUAAAGAAAAGUAAGAAUUAAAAAUAUAUUAAAUUUAAAGGUUUUUACUGAAAAUAAAAAGUAAUUCAUUUCUGAAAAAAUUUAAAAUUAAAAAUAUAUUUUUAAUGUUAACGUAUUAAUUCAUGAUACUGAUUUUUUGAAGAAGGGAUAUUACUAUUUAUAAUUAUAAUAUAAUAUAAAUAUUUUUAUUAAUAAAAUUUUCUAUAUUAUCAGUGUUUUCUAAAUUAAAAAGUGGUGGAUUUUUUUAAAAAAAUCAAAUGAAUACCUAAAAAAAGAAAAACUAAAUAUUAAUUAGUGUUUAUGAAAUUUUAACAUAGAUCAAAAAAAUUUAAGGUGAUUUGAAAUAAAACAAAACUAUCCUAAAAACACAAAUAAAAAUAAAAUAAUCCAAUCGAAUAAAAAAUUGUGUGGUAAUAAUAUUUACGAAUGCUAUUUGGAAAUUAGAAUAGUAAUGGUAUACUGAAGAGAUUUGAAUUAAAACUAAAAAUGAAGGAUUAAAAAAUUGUAUUUUAAAAUUAGAAUGAUUUAUAUGAGUUCGUAAGUUACUCAAUUUACGAAAAUCAACAUUAAACAUAAUAUAUGUGAAAUUAUAUAUGUGAAUUUGUUUUUUGUAUUUUUCAAAAGGUCAAGAUAAAUUGCAAAAUUCGAUGUUGAAAUACGAUGUUUUUGAAUAGGAAUGAGUUCAUAUAUGAGAUUUGUUGUCUAUAAAGCAAUUUUACAUCUUUUACAUGCACCAAACAUGAUCAAAAAAACUUUACGACAAAUAUCUCCCGAGAUUUUUUAAUGUUCACUUUAAUAAAAAGUUCAUGCAACUUAUAAAAAAAAUUUGAGUAUUGAAAGAUAUGAAUGAUAAAAUAUAUACGAUCUAUCUUGAGAACUAAUGCAUAGUCGAGAAUAUUAUAUGUGAGUCAAUAUAAGGUGAAAAGAGAGUAGAUGUCGGGAUACAACGAGUGAAUCAUAGAAGAUAUAUAACAAGAAAAAUU
Molecule: long non-coding RNA, 9913 nt
Filed under: Arabidopsis lyrata
Lineage: Eukaryota; Viridiplantae; Streptophyta; Magnoliopsida; Brassicales; Brassicaceae
Description: long non-coding RNA (ALYR_LNC001318)
Source: RNAcentral